ACGGGGUGCAGCAGGCGCGAAGCCUCCGCAAUACACGAAAGUGUGACGGGGUUACCCAAAGUGUUCUAUUUAGAACUGUGGUAGGUGAGUAAUGUCCCCUACUAGAAAGGAGAGGGCAAGGCUGGUGCCAGCCGCCGCGGUAAAACCAGCUCUUCAAGUGGUCGGGAUAAUUAUUGGGCUUAAAGUGUCCGUAGCCGGUUUAGUAAGUUCCUGGUAAAAUCGGGUAGCUUAACUAUCUAUAUGCUAGGAAUACUGCUAUACUAGAGGGCGGGAGAGGUCUGAGGUACUACAGGGGUAGGGGUGAAAUCUUAUAAUCCUUGUAGGACCACCAGUGGCGAAGGCGUCAGACUGGAACGCGCCUGACGGUGAGGGACGAAAGCCAGGGGAGCGAACCGGAUUAGAUACCCGGGUAGUCCUGGCCGUAAACGAUGCAUACUAGGUGAUGGCACGGCCAUGAGCCGUGUCAGUGCCGUAGGGAAACCGUUAAGUGUGCCGCCUGGAAGUACGUCGCAAGGC
This 516-nucleotide ribosomal RNA is filed under the name uncultured archaeon. RNAcentral describes it as "bacterial SSU rRNA". It matches the Rfam family "Archaeal small subunit ribosomal RNA", at positions 325 to 849 of the family's 1478-position model. The record is from RNAcentral.